CCCUGGUAGUCCACGCAGUAAACGAUGAUAACUCGUUGUCGGCGAUACAGUGUCGGUGACUAAGCGAAAGCGAUAAGUUAUCCACCUGGGGAGUACGUUCGCAAGAAUGAAACUCAAAGGAAUUGACGGGGGCCCGCACAAGCGGAGGAACAUGUGGUUUAAUUCGAUGAUACGCGAGGAACCUUACCCGGGCUUGAAAGUUAGUGACGGAUCUUGAAAGAGGUCUUCCCUUCGGGGCACGAAACUAGGUGCUGCAUGGUUGUCGUCAGCUCGUGCCGUGAGGUGUCGGGUUAAGUCCCAUAACGAGCGCAACCCCUACCGUUAGUUGCCAGCAGGUCAAGCUGGGCACUCUGACGGGACUGCCGGUGUAAGCCGAGAGGAAGGUGGGGAUGACGUCAAAUCAGCACGGCCCUUACGUCCGGGGCUACACACGUGUUACAAUGGCAGGUACAGAGGGCAGCUACCCAGCGAUGGGAUGCGAAUCUCGAAAGCCUGUCUCAGUUCGGAUUGGAGGCUGAAACCCGCCUCCAUGAAGUUGGAUUCGCUAGUAAUCGCGCAUCAGCCAUGGCGCGGUGAAUACGUUCCCGGGCCUUGUACACACCGCCCGUCAAGCCAUGGAAGCUGGGGGUGCCUGAAGUUCGUGACCGGAAGGAGCGACCUAGGGCAAAACCGGUGACUGGGGCUAAGUCGUAACAAGGUAGCCGUACCGGAAGGUGCGGUUGGAUCACCUC
This 731-nucleotide ribosomal RNA is filed under the name uncultured bacterium. Its description in RNAcentral is "bacterial SSU rRNA". It matches the Rfam family "Bacterial small subunit ribosomal RNA", at positions 785 to 1529 of the family's 1533-position model. The record is from RNAcentral.